Molecule: non-coding RNA, 177 nt
Organism: Candidatus Burkholderia brachyanthoides
Lineage: Bacteria; Pseudomonadati; Pseudomonadota; Betaproteobacteria; Burkholderiales; Burkholderiaceae
Source: Rfam
CCAGCCUCAACAGGGUGAAGGCGACGCAGCGCUGGAAGCUGCAUCGAUGAUUGUUCCGGCAUCUAGCUGUAAACGGCGCUGUGCGGAGCUUCCUGACAAUGCACUCCUCCGGUAAGGGUACGCAUCUGUCGUGAGACGAUGCGUAGAGUCUGCCAGUCACACAUGGCGGACAAGAGG